UACAGAGGGUGCAAGCGUUAAUCGGAAUUACUGGGCGUAAAGCGCGCGUAGGUGGUUCGUUAAGUUGGAUGUGAAAUCCCCGGGCUCAACCUGGGAACUGCAUUCAAAACUGUCGAGCUAGAGUAUGGUAGAGGGUGGUGGAAUUUCCUGUGUAGCGGUGAAAUGCGUAGAUAUAGGAAGGAACACCAGUGGCGAAGGCGACCACCUGGACUGAUACUGACACUGAGGUGCGAAAGCGUGGGGAGCAAACAGG
RNAcentral lists this ribosomal RNA (253 nucleotides) under uncultured bacterium. Its description in RNAcentral is "partial 16S ribosomal RNA". It matches the Rfam family "Bacterial small subunit ribosomal RNA", at positions 524 to 776 of the family's 1533-position model. RNAcentral also lists the same sequence under 1 other name. The record is from RNAcentral.